UGGGGAAUAUUGCACAAUGGGCGCAAGCCUGAUGCAGCGACGCCGCGUGAGGGAUGACGGCCUUCGGGUUGUAAACCUCUGUUAGCAUCGAAGAAGCGAAAGUGACGGUAGGUGCAGAGAAAGCGCCGGCUAACUACGUGCCAGCAGCCGCGGUAAUACGUAGGGCGCGAGCGUUGUCCGGAAUUAUUGGGCGUAAAGAGCUUGUAGGCGGUUGGUCGCGUCUGCUGUGAAAGGCUGGGGCUUAACCCUGGUUUUGCAGUGGGUACGGGCUAACUAGAGUGCAGUAGGGGAGACUGGAAUUCCUGGUGUAGCGGUGGAAUGCGCAGAUAUCAGGAGGAACACCGAUGGCGAAGGCAGGUCUCUGGGCUGUAACUGACGCUGAGAAGCGAAAGCAUGGGGAGCGAACAGGAUUAGAUACCCCCGUAGUCC
This 429-nucleotide ribosomal RNA is filed under the name uncultured prokaryote. RNAcentral describes it as "bacterial SSU rRNA". It matches the Rfam family "Bacterial small subunit ribosomal RNA", at positions 355 to 796 of the family's 1533-position model. The record is from RNAcentral.